CAAUAGAUAAUAAAUAAUUAUGUUUAAAAAAAUUUAUUAAAGGUUUAUUUUAUAUAUAAAUUAUAGUGUUAAAUUAUUAUUAUUUUAAUAAUAAUAAUGAUAUUUUAAUAGUAAAUAAAAUUAAAAAUUUAAGAAAUUAAGAUUUAGUAAUACAAAAAUUAAUAACAAAUUUUGUGCCAGCAGUUGCGGUUAAACAAAAGUUAAAUUAAAUUAUUUCAGUUUAUAAGUAAUAAAUAGUGAAUUAAAAUAAAUAUUAAAUUAUUAGGUAAAAUUUUAAUUUAAUUAAAUUUUAUAUAAAAAUUUAUGUUUUAAAAAAUUUUAUUUUAAACUAGGAUUAGAUACCCUAUUAUUAAAAAUUUAAGUUAUAAUACUAAAAUAGUAAAUAAUUAUUUAUUGAAACUUAAAUAAUAUGGCGGUAUUUUAGUUCAUUUAGAGGAAUCUGUUUAAUAAUUGAUAGUCCACGAUUAAAUUUACUUAAUUAAGAAUUUUAUAUAUCGUUGUUAAAAAAAUAUUUUUAAUAAAAAAUAAUAUUUAAAAAUUAAAAUAAAAAAUUAAUUCAGAUCAAGAUGUAGAUUAUAAUUAAGAAUAUAAUGGAUUACAAUAAAAUUAUUUAAAUGAAUAUAUUAUUGGAAAAUGAUAUUGAAGGUGGAUUUAAAUGUAAUUUUAUUUAAUAAAAUAAAAUGAUUUAAAAUUAAAAUAUGUACAUAUUGCCCGUCACUUUCAUUUAAAAAUUGGAAUAAGUCGUAACAAAGUAGAGGUACUGGAAAGUGUUUCUAGAAAGA
This 782-nucleotide non-coding RNA is filed under the name Parantica aglea (glassy tiger). The record is from RNAcentral. Lineage: Eukaryota; Metazoa; Arthropoda; Insecta; Lepidoptera; Nymphalidae.